UGAGGAAUAUUGCACAAUGGGCGCAAGCCUGAUGCAGCAACGCCGCGUGCGGGACGAAGGCCUUCGGGUCGUAAACCGCUUUUCUGGGGGAAGAGCAAGGACGGUACCUCAGGAAUAAGUCUCGGCUAACUACGUGCCAGCAGCCGCGGUAAAACGUAGGAGGCGAGCGUUAUCCGGAUUUACUGGGCGUAAAGCGCACGCAGGCGGCUCUGUUAGUCGGACGUGAAAGCUCUCGGCUUAACCGGGAGAGGCCGUUCGAUACUGCGGGGCUUGAGGUAGGGAGAGGAAUGCGGAAUUCCCGGUGUAGUGGUGGAAUGCGUAGAUAUCGGGAGGCACACCUGUGGCGAAAGCGGCAUUCUGGCCCUCACCUGACGCUGAGGUGCGAAAGCGUGGGUAGCAAACA
This 403-nucleotide ribosomal RNA is filed under the name uncultured bacterium. Its description in RNAcentral is "bacterial SSU rRNA". It matches the Rfam family "Bacterial small subunit ribosomal RNA", at positions 355 to 774 of the family's 1533-position model. The record is from RNAcentral.